This is a long non-coding RNA of Bos taurus (domestic cattle), 1647 nucleotides long. NCBI's taxonomy places the organism in Eukaryota, Metazoa, Chordata, Mammalia, Artiodactyla, Bovidae. The record is from Ensembl.
GGCCUGCCUGACACUCUUUCCCUGUUGCACUACUGUGCGCCCCUGGCAAGCAGUGCAAUGAUGAAAGGGCAUCGGUCAGGCCCCACCCACCACCCGCAGCGCCUGGGCAGGGAGUCUGGCCACCUCACUCCACUAACCAGCAAGGAGGUGCAGGCGGGGAGCUGGGCUGGCGGGCUGUCCAUCGGAGGAUCAGAACGGCAGAGCUGGGAGGUUCUCUCCCAACCUCUCCAGCUAGGUUGUGGCUGGACAGGGGGUGGGGCAGACUCGGAAAACCUAUGGUUUGAAGAGGAUCUUUGCAACCAACUCACAGGGAUGUGUACUGCCCUGAGCCUGCAGGAGGGACGGUGAAGUGCCCAGCAUCCCACCUGCACAGCUGCAAUCGGGGGGACUGGAGCCGACCUGCCAAGGAGAUUGGCCCCAGGCAUGCCUGCAGGGCCCCCUCAGCAUCAGGACCAGACACAAAGGAUUUUCAAGUGCCCAGUGGCAGCCAUUCAAGCCUGUCUCCUUGAGAGGGGGCCCAUUCGUGUCUGAAGGGGCAUUUGGGAGUACCCUUCAUCAAUGGCUGUGCCCAGAGGGACAAGGGUAGAUGCCCUGGCACCCAGGGUAGGAUGAGGGGCAAUGACACAUGCUUGUCUACCUCCUAGGCCUGACCCCUUGCUCCUAUGCAGACUCUGUACCCCAUGGCCAAACAUGCCAUGCAGCUGUUUCCUGCCUUUGCUGGGAACUCAAGGCUCUGCUCAAAUGUCCCCUCCUAAGGAAAGCCUCGGAGAAGGCAAUGGCACCCCACUCCAGUACUCUUGCCUGGAAAAUCCCAUGGACGGAGGAGCCUGGUGGGCUGCAGUCCGUGGGGUCGCUAAGAGUUGGACACGACUGAGCGACUUCAUUUUCACUUUUCACUUUCAUGCACUGGAGAAGGAAAUGGCAACCCUCUCCAGUGUUCUUGCCUGGAGAAUCCCAGGGACGGGGGAGCCUGGUGGGCUGCCGUCCAUGGGGUCGCACGGAGUCGGACACGACUGAGGCGACUCAGCAGCAGCAGCAGCAAGGAGAGCCUUCCCCGGGCUCCAGGGCGCCCAGUGUUCCUCCUCACGGCCGGUUAGAUCACAUUUUCCACCUGUGGCUGAAGCCCUCUUUAGAUUAGGAGCCCCUGAAAGCAGCAAACAUUUCCUUUUGGCGGUGCUUGACACGGCAUACUUUAAAAAAUCCAAAGAAACAUACAAAGCAUGAAGUAUUAUAAGCAUAAACAUGAAGGGGAUGUUAACAAGGGCCUCCCUGACUCUUAGAGGAUGCUUGUCCUGGUUUUAAAAAAGCACAUACUGCGUGUUUUAGAGUCAGGUCCGAAAGUCACAGGUGGUGGCCAGGCAACAGAAUGGAGAUUUGGAGGCAGCAGUAUCUGAGUCUGCCUGCAGCCCUAGGCAAGAUACACAGGCCAGACCUCUCCUUCCUUGCAGGAGGCAGGCGUCAAAGUGGGAGGAAGUGAAGGCCACCUCCUGUGUUGGGGAUAGCUGGGGCUGGAGGUUUGGUGGUAGGAGGUGAAAAAAAGUCUCAAGAUACAGGGGCUGACAGGAGGAGGUGUGGGGAGGGGCCAGGAACAUGUGCUCCAGGGAGCACCACCGCCCCCCCUUAAGAUACUGGAAUGGAUGGUGGUUG